Molecule: non-coding RNA, 401 nt
Organism: Pelobates cultripes (western spadefoot toad)
Lineage: Eukaryota; Metazoa; Chordata; Amphibia; Anura; Pelobatidae
Source: the annotation of a GenBank genome assembly
GGAUACAGAAAGAGACACAACGAUAAGGAAAAGCCAGUGGUCAUGGAUGCCAGAAAACAGGGAAGUCAAUAUCAAUGCCAAAGUCAAAUAACCAGAAAAAACAGAAUCAAUAACGCGCUCUCGGACAACCACAAGGGAAACCACGUCAGGGCACAGAGCAAGAGGAGAACUGGGCCUGUGGAUCUGAUUGGUUGUAACCGGCCUUUGACCCCAAAGGCAGUUACCAGGUUCCUAUUUGCAUGACUGCUGCUCAGCACAAACCCUCCUAUGGAUUGAUUGCUGCUCAGCACAAACCCUCCUGUGGAUUGAUUGCUGCUGGGCACACCUUUUCCUGUCAGGACAAUAAAUGCCAUUAAUCACAUUUUUAUGUGCAGAUGAAUACGUGACACAUGGCUCCCCAG